Molecule: long non-coding RNA, 1926 nt
Organism: Platichthys flesus (European flounder)
Lineage: Eukaryota; Metazoa; Chordata; Actinopteri; Pleuronectiformes; Pleuronectidae
Exons: 4
Source: RefSeq, a predicted model, not a curated record
AGUGUUAAGAGUGAAGAUUACUUUAUUUAGAGUUAUGCUCACUCGCAACAAUAAGUAGCCAACACAGUCUCACUCCCACUGCGCAUUCAAAGAAGAAGAAGAAGAAGUGUGCAUGCGCAGUAGCAACAUUCAGUCUCUCCCGCUCGCCAGUCCAGCACACAGGCCGGGACACUGAGGGCAGCCUGCUGACUCGACUUUUGCGCCGUCUUGUUUAUUCUUUUGAAAAAUAAUAAGGUAAGUUAUCAAGCAAGUGUUUCUGUUAAUAUGUUUUAAUUACUGCUACGACUGUUAGCGUUCGCUAGCUAGCGCUAGCGCUAGCGUUAGCGUUCGCUAGCUAGCGUUAGCCCUAAACCCUAAUUUUUAAAUCAUGACCUCUACCUCUGAUAUUUAAAAAGAAAUCUUAAGACAUCAUUUUAGCCUGAAUUUUAAGCAAGGUGCCUCCAUUAUUAGUUGAUUUUGCCUAAUGCUAUCUUAAUUUUUGUGCCCUUGCUCACCUGUGGUUUUUGUUUUUGUUGCAGUGUCUUUCUAUCACGUGCAGCACAUUGGGUGUAGACAUGUGCUAUAUAAAUUAAGAUUGAUUAAUUACAUGAAUACCUUUGAGGUCUAAUAAAAUUAAAAUGUUACAUUUUCAUAUUUUUCCAUCCGCUCCCAUUCUAAGCUGCUGUGCCAAUGUGAGGACAGAGAACUACUGCAUAAUAGGAGCAAUAAAAAAAAAAAUCUGAUAAUUUUUUUGACCAAAAUUAUUAGGAAACUAUAGCCCAAGGUUGGAUUUGCCUGAACUUGUACUUUAUUAUUAAAAACAGGUUCCUGUAAUACCUGUGUUAAGCAUGCACAUAUUAAGGAACGUGUCAGUAAUCUACAAACCACGACAUCACUGGAACUUCCUUGUAACUACAAUAUUUUUCUCUUUCAGAACAAGUGCUCAGAGCUACUGAAGAGCUGCUUUGACAACGUGGGCCCAGUGCACUGGAGGAAGCUGUUUCCCCGUGGAGCUCCAGCAGUGCUUAGAGGGCUAAAAAACCUUCACCUGACAUCUUAUCAGCAAGGGGAAACCAGAUGUGACAGCGGUACGCACCGUUGUACUCCGAGGCCUCCCUGUUCUACUUGGUUAUGACCCCAGUGACUUCUACAACACCUGCUUCGAUUGUGACACUGAUGAGACCUGGGUAAAAGUAUCUGUCGGGGUGCUGACUGUUCUCCCUGAAGAUCUGCAACUCCUUCCAAAUCAGCUCCACCUUCAACCAAUGUCUACUGCCAUCAUUGUUGAGGGAGGUAUUGUAAUGGAUGAACUCCAGAACCUACCUGAGGCACUUUGACUUUUGUUUGGAAUGUCAUACGCUUUGCAUUUAGACUACCCUAAAGCCAUGAAAAACACUUUCUGCUUCAUUCAAAGAGUGAUGCUUGGCUUGGGAGAGGACAAACUCCCACCAAAAUUACAAAGUCUUAAAAAUCUCUUGUUGAGUUAGAAUGCAAAUGUAGAGUGGAUUCAGUUGUUUUUUAUUGUUCACUAAAUUAACACACUCCACUCAAAUUGUCAGCCCAUGGGUUCAUCAGCAAGUAUAGAGGCUGUACAUGUAUGUAUAUUCAUUCACAUAUAUGUGAGAUCCAUUGCCAGUUAUUACCCUGUCAGGUUUUUGCGCUCAUUGAGUAAAGCCACUUUGCACUUUUUUUAAAUUUUUUAUAUAUAUGUAGUUUUUAUUUAGUGAUUUUUGAGUAACAUUAUUCAGGAAUACAAAAGUGCACUUGUCAGCUUGUGGGUUAUUUCCCAUUGGUGGGAAAGAACUGUUAGUUGUUACAGUUUUAAGGCUGUGUUUACUGUAUUAUUGAUCUUGAUAUUGAUAUUGAGCUGUGUUUGUGGAUGUCCUUCAAGGCAAUCUUUAAGAAAAAAAGUUGAUAUAAAUGGAAGAAAAAUUAAAAACAAUUGAU